AGUGAACGCUGGCGGUAGGCCUAACACAUGCCAGUCGAACGGCAGCACAGUAAGAGCUUGCUCUUACGGGUGGCGAGUGGCGGACGGGUGAGGAAUACAUCGGAAUCUACUUUUUCGUGGGGGAUAACGUAGGGAAACUUACGCUAAUACCGCAUACGACCUACGGGUGAAAGCAGGGGAUCUUCGGAACUUGCGCGAUUGAAUGAGCCGAUGUCGGAUUAGCUAGUUGGCGGGGUAAAGGCCCACCAAGGCGACGAUCCGUAGCUGGUCUGAGAGGAUGAUCAGCCACACUGGAACUGAGACACGGUCCAGACUCCUACGGGAGGCAGCAGUGGGGAAUAUUGGACAAUGGGCGCAAGCCUGAUCCAGCCAUACCGCGUGGGUGAAGAAGGCCUUCGGGUUGUAAAGCCCUUUUGUUGGGAAAGAAAAGCAGCAGGUUAAUACCCCGCUGUUCUGACGGUACCCAAAGAAUAAGCACCGGCUAACUUCGUG
RNAcentral lists this ribosomal RNA (492 nucleotides) under uncultured bacterium. Its description in RNAcentral is "partial 16S ribosomal RNA". It matches the Rfam family "Bacterial small subunit ribosomal RNA", at positions 29 to 507 of the family's 1533-position model. The record is from RNAcentral.